GAUGAACGCUAGCGGCAGGCUUAAUACAUGCAAGUCAAGGGGGUAGCAAUACAACCGGCGCACGGGUGAGUAACGCGUACACAACAUACCAUAUACUGGAGUAUAGCUUUGGGAAACUGAAGGUAAUCCUCCAUAACAUUGCGAGAGGGCAUCUGAUUGCAAUUAAAGUUUCGGCGGUAUAUGAUUGGUGUGCGUUUGAUUAGCUAGUUGGUAGGGUAACGGCCUACCAAGGCGACGAUCAAUAGCUGGCGUGAGAGCGCGACCAGCCACACUGGAACUGAGACACGGUCCAGACUCCUACGGGGAGCA
This 309-nucleotide ribosomal RNA is filed under the name uncultured bacterium. Its description in RNAcentral is "bacterial SSU rRNA". It matches the Rfam family "Bacterial small subunit ribosomal RNA", at positions 28 to 350 of the family's 1533-position model. The record is from RNAcentral.